GGGGAUGUAGCUUAGAUGGUAGAGCGCUCGCUUAGCAUGCGAGAGGUACAGGGAUCGAUACCUCGCAUCUCCA
RNAcentral lists this transfer RNA (73 nucleotides) under Ipomoea nil (Japanese morning glory). It matches the Rfam family "tRNA". Rfam says of the family: Transfer RNA (tRNA) molecules are approximately 80 nucleotides in length. Their secondary structure includes four short double-helical elements and three loops (D, anti-codon, and T loops). Further hydrogen bonds mediate the characteristic L-shaped molecular structure. tRNAs have two regions of fundamental functional importance: the anti-codon, which is responsible for specific mRNA codon recognition, and the 3' end, to which the tRNAs corresponding amino acid is attached (by aminoacyl-tRNA synthetases). tRNAs cope with the degeneracy of the genetic code in two manners: having more than one tRNA (with a specific anti-codon) for a particular amino acid; and 'wobble' base-pairing, i.e. permitting non-standard base-pairing at the 3rd anti-codon position. Lineage: Eukaryota; Viridiplantae; Streptophyta; Magnoliopsida; Solanales; Convolvulaceae. The record is from Rfam by way of RNAcentral.